Molecule: long non-coding RNA, 241 nt
Filed under: Setaria italica (foxtail millet)
Lineage: Eukaryota; Viridiplantae; Streptophyta; Magnoliopsida; Poales; Poaceae
Description: long non-coding RNA (SITA_LNC007241)
Source: RNAcentral
ACCUCCAAUUUCAAAAUAAAACGUUUUAGAAAAAUCUCAAUAAUACACCUGGUGUGCUCCAAUUAGCUGCUCCAACUCUACUUGUUUACACUUUACACUCUCAAAAUUGAUGAUGGGCAAUAUAAUACAGGCGAGUUCGGUCGUAUUCAUUGCACAUAUCUACAGCUGGCAUAAGUGCUACAAUAUCUAAGAACAAGGAUACACUACCACCUCGUCGUUUCCGGCUCUCUGAUUGCUCGUU